Molecule: ribosomal RNA, 325 nt
Filed under: uncultured Nitrospirota bacterium
Lineage: Bacteria; Pseudomonadati; Nitrospirota
Description: bacterial SSU rRNA
Rfam family: Bacterial small subunit ribosomal RNA
Source: RNAcentral
AGUGAACGCUGGCGGCGUGCCUAACACAUGCAAGUCGAGCGGUUUCAGGGUAGCAAUACCUUGGAAUAGCGGCGAACGGGUGAGUAACACGUGGGUAAUCUCCCCUCGGGUGAGGAAUAAGCCUUCGAAAGGGGGUCUAAUACCGCAUGACACUCCGGGACUCAAGUCUUCGGAGUCAAAGCCGAAAGGCGCCUGAGGAUGAGCCUGCGUCCUAUUAGCUAGUUGGUAGGGUAAUGGCCUACCAAGGUUAUGAUGGGUAGCCGGCCUGAGAGGGUGUACGGCCACACUGGGACUGAGACACGGCCCAGACUCCUACGGGAGGCAG